Molecule: ribosomal RNA, 301 nt
Filed under: uncultured bacterium
Lineage: Bacteria
Description: partial 16S ribosomal RNA
Rfam family: Bacterial small subunit ribosomal RNA
Source: RNAcentral
CAGUAGCCGCGGUAAUACGAAGGGGGCUAGCGUUGUUCGGAAUUACUGGGCGUAAAGGGCGCGUAGGCGGCCAUUCAAGUUAGAUGUGAAAGCCCUGGGCUCAACCUAGGAAUUGCAUUUGAUACUGUUGGCUUGAGUCCGGGAGAGGUGAGUGGAAUUCCCAGUGUAGAGGUGAAAUUCGUAGAUAUUGGGAAGAACACCAGUGGCGAAGGCGGCUCACUGGACCGACACUGACGCUGAGGCGCGAAAGCGUGGGGAGCAAACAGGAUUAGAUACCCCCGUAGUCCCUGUCUCUUAUACA